Molecule: long non-coding RNA, 854 nt
Filed under: Homo sapiens (human)
Lineage: Eukaryota; Metazoa; Chordata; Mammalia; Primates; Hominidae
Description: non-protein coding lnc-CRYBA4-18:1
Source: RNAcentral
AGGAUUUUGUGCCAAACCAUCAGAGAAGGAGUUUCCAUCUCUCGCUCCAGCCUCCCAGUGGCUGCAACUGCACAGGGUUCUGACAGUGAAGCUCUUAGUCUAGUCCACAAAAGCAGAUUCCCAUCCUGAAAUGCCCUACUUCCCUGCUCUAGGCAGACAUCACGAAUCAAUCACAGCCUGACUUCCUCUUGCAUCUUUUUCAGUCAAGCACUCCAGGCAGGUGCUAUCAGUGGUUGGGAACUGGCACACAAGAUUAAACAUAUUCUAUGGGGGAAUGCCUAGGACAGAAGGCUGCAUGAAAGGUAUCACAAUAGGAAGUAUGGCAUGAAAUAGUUCUUCAAAAGAGAAACAAAACAGGCAAGUACAAAUGAUAAAUGUAGGAAAGUGAUGUCUCACAGUCAUGUGUGUGAGUGUGUGUGAGGGAGGGAGGGAAAGAGAGAGAGAGAAAGAGAGACAGAGAGAGAAAGAGAGACAGAGAGGGAAAUUGCAAUUGUUUUUCUUUUUCUGCUUUGUUUUGUCUCUACACUGAGUGUCUACUUACUUGAGGCAUGUUCACAUUGAGCACCUAUUAUGUGCCAGGCCCUGUGUUAGGGGUACAAUGACAAUCAGGACUAACAUGUAAUUGCCUAAUGGAAAAGAUAACUACAACUCAGUGUGGUAAGGCAAAGGCAGAAUCUGUGGGAAUCUUCACAGAUUGGGCCGCAGAGCACCUGAGUUUCUCCUUUAUGACAAUGAGAAUCACAAUUAGACAACUAGAAUCACAACUAGAAUGCUGCAGUUAUUUGUGAGAUUGUGUGCUAAGCCUCCCUCUCACUCUGUCCCCCUCUCUCUCACUUAGACUACAAACUCCCAGA